RNAcentral lists this unclassified non-coding RNA (315 nucleotides) under uncultured fungus. RNAcentral describes it as "partial contains small subunit ribosomal RNA, internal transcribed spacer 1, and 5.8S ribosomal RNA". The stretch from base 1 to 73 matches the Rfam family "Eukaryotic small subunit ribosomal RNA", at positions 1759 to 1831 of the family's 1831-position model. The record is from RNAcentral. Lineage: Eukaryota; Fungi.
UCAAACUUGGUCAUUUAGAGGAAGUAAAAGUCGUAACAAGGUUUCCGUAGGUGAACCUGCGGAAGGAUCAUUACAAAUCCAUCACGUCUCUCUCACCGAGACCACGUUGAACUGUUCUGCUGCCGUGCGGCGUGGGGACGGGCGCGCUUGCGCGCGCUUCGCUCUCCCGCCGCGCCCAGCAACAUCACAUUCACUAGUUAUCUCUUGUUGCACGAGUGUAUUGGGAAGCAUCGUUCCGCUUAGGAGCCGAUGUCUUAACAACGUACAACUUAUGACAAUGGAUCUCUAGGCUCUUGCAUCGAUGAAGAACGCAGC